GGGGAUGAAAGUUUAGACAAUUUUCUUUUUAAAAAUUAGGCAGAUCCAGUUCAGAAUCUGGUAAAACUUCUGGAAAUCUUAAUAGGUGCCAACUUAUUCAAGAAACCUGCAUUAGCAUUUGCUUAAUGCCAUCUCCUCCGAUGAUUCUCGAUAAGCGGGCCGGAGGUGUCAUAUUUUCGAGAUAGGCAGUUUCAUUUUCCUCAUGAAAUUGUCCGAACAUUCAGAGGAAUAGGUUGCUGGAACUUUGCUUGUUUUUCAUUCAGCAUCCCAAACAUAAAACAAGCUAAAUCUGUAGAUUAAUUUUUAAAAGUUUUUUGGACGGGAGCUCAUCCUCCCCAUCUCCACCA
Molecule: transfer-messenger RNA, 347 nt
Filed under: bacterium
Lineage: Bacteria
Rfam family: transfer-messenger RNA
About the family: Bacterial tmRNA, also known as 10Sa RNA or SsrA, is named for its dual tRNA and mRNA-like properties.
Source: RNAcentral